Molecule: long non-coding RNA, 1323 nt
Filed under: Heterocephalus glaber (naked mole-rat)
Lineage: Eukaryota; Metazoa; Chordata; Mammalia; Rodentia; Bathyergidae
Description: lncRNA (ENSHGLG00000048627.1)
Source: RNAcentral
GCUGCAGAUACCAGGCACCACAGCCUGGGAGAAUCCCCAAGUACAGUAAAGUAAGUAAAAUGUGGAUACUUCAGAUUGAGGUGUUAAGUUUACCCUUAAUAACAUAAAAGGGAUGUUGUGCCAAAACUGAGGUGAUUUAAAGUUAGUUUUAUUUUUUGAAAUCAGAAUAUAGACUUCCGCAAGCCUGGAAGUUGUCUUGGACAAGACAUGCACUUGUACGAUCUCCUCUCUGCCCUUCUUUGCAGCCUGUGGUGAGCAGAAAACGAUUGUGGUAGAAAGGCUCAGCUCAAAAAAUUACACUGGGGGAAGAAAUGAUGGAUGGAGUUUGCCCCAGUGCCUACCAGACUUGACUGCUGGUGCCCUGGAUGAGGUUCCCAGCACACACAAAAAGAGUUCAAUUAAAAAAAAAAAGAGUUCAAUAGAUGUGUAUUGAGGAUGGAGAGACUUACUGCCCUGGGUCAGCCAUGGAGUCAGAUCCCACGGUUGGUGGAGCAGUGACUGUGUCACUUGAAAAUAAUGAAUGUGCUUCUGGUUAAUUUUCCUGGUGGCAAGUGAGUUCUGGUCUAGGGAAUAAAGGGAAUCUUGGAGUGGGGGAGAGAAGGACAUCCUUUCUCUCUGGAGCUGGGGGAGAUGGGUCUGGGAGUCACAUGGGAAUGCAUUUGAGGUGCUCCUGGUAGGGGAGCACAGCAGAGUGAGUCAGUGUUGGCAAAUGAAUAUAAGUUGGAAGAGUAAAGGAAUUGGUUUCUUAAAAAGUUUUCCAGUUUGGAUGAGGACCUGUGGGCUCAAGAUUGGUAGUUAGUCUUUUGUUAUUUCUCACAGUGAUAUUUGUUGAAGCAUUAUUUGUAAUAACAACACACACAGACAUAGAUACCAAUAGAGAGAAGAAAAGCUAAAUGAAAUAUAGAAUAUUUAUACUACAGAAUAACACACAUCAGUUAAAAACAAUGAGGUAGAGCUACAUUUAGGUCCUAUGGAGCUGGAUGUUGUGAUCUCUGAGACUCAUGUGACAAAACAAGUCAGAGCACAGUAUGUAUUACUCAUAAACAAAAUACCUUUUUGCAUUUAUAUAUUUUUAACAUAUAAAUGCAUAGAAAAUAUGCUGAAGAAUUUAAUGUAGCCGUUAAUAGCGAUUACCUCCGGGAGGAGUGUGUUUAGAGAAGAAGGGAGGGAACUUCUUUCUUUUACUCAAUCUAGUUGUAUUUAUUGAAAUCUUUUUUUUAUUGAAAUGUUUUAAUUGGCGAUUUAUUCAUAGUACACAUAUAAUUAAAGUAAAAGGGAAAAAGAGAGACAUUACCGAAUUUUGUAGUUUCAUGCUGAUGAGAC